Molecule: transfer-messenger RNA, 354 nt
Filed under: bacterium
Lineage: Bacteria
Rfam family: transfer-messenger RNA
About the family: Bacterial tmRNA, also known as 10Sa RNA or SsrA, is named for its dual tRNA and mRNA-like properties. Its role is to liberate the mRNA from a stalled ribosome.
Source: RNAcentral
GGGGGCGACAGGUUUCGACGGCUAAGCAGGGGUUCGGGUGGCAUGCCGAGAACGCCAGAGGGCUCGUUAAAAUGCUGGCAAGCCAAGUAACUGGCUCGUCCAAUUACGCUCUGGCGGCUUAGAUUUAGCUGCCAUGCCGCUGUAGGUCUCCGCCCAUCGGGCUUAUAGACGGCACCGUUUAGACGGGCUGGUCCGGUCCCUCGCCCCAGGGGGCCGGACGAGAUUCAUGGGGUUGCUCCGGGGAGGAUCCUGUCCAUGGGAGCCCUCCCGGAUAAGACAAACCACGGACUAAGCAUGUAGAGGCCUGGGCUGCUCCUUUUCCGGACGCGGGUUCAAAUCCCGCCGCCUCCACCA